UCAGACGAUGCGUCAUGCAUAUCAAUAAGCGGAGGAAAAGAAACUAACAAGGAUUCCCCUAGUAACGGCGAGUGAAGCGGGAAGAGCUCAAAUUUGAAAUCUUAAAGGGUUUCCCUUUACGAAUUGUAGUUUAAAGAAGUGUUUUCUGUUGAGGUUUUGGUAAAAGUUCUUUGGAAUAGGACAUCAUAGAGGGUGAGAAUCCCGUAUUUGACCUUUACUUUCAACUUCGUGAUACACUUUCAAAGAGUCGGAUUGUUUGGGAAUGCAGUCCAAAAUGGGUGGUAAAUUUCAUCUAAAGCUAAAUAUUGGCGAGAGACCGAUAGCGAACAAGUACCGUGAGGGAAAGAUGAAAAGAACUUUGAAAAGAGAGUUAAACAGUACGUGAAAUUGUCAAAAGGGAAGCGUUUGACACCAGUGUUGUUUUUCUGAAAAUCAAUUAAAGAACUGUUUAUGCUAAGUUGUUUAGACUUUAUCAGCUAUACUGUUUAGUUUUGAGCUUUUCUUUAAUGCACUUUUCAGUUAACAAGUCAACAUCAAUUUCUUUUGCUGUAAAAAAGCUAGAGGAAGGUGGCUUGAGAUUCGUCUUAAGUGUUUAUAGCCUCUUGCCUAUGCAGUCGGAGAGAUUGAGGUCUGCAGCGUAGAUCCUUCGGGGCUAAAUGCAUUUGUGCUAAGUUAUAGCAUUUUAUAGACAACUUGUUGACUAUGAUUUGUCUUGUAGCUUACUCGCUUAUGUUAUUUUACCUACGCUUAGGAUGUUGACACACGCGCGUGCUCG
This 775-nucleotide ribosomal RNA is filed under the name uncultured Neocallimastigales. RNAcentral describes it as "partial large subunit ribosomal RNA". It matches the Rfam family "Eukaryotic large subunit ribosomal RNA", at positions 18 to 643 of the family's 3401-position model. The record is from RNAcentral. Lineage: Eukaryota; Fungi; Neocallimastigomycota; Neocallimastigomycetes; Neocallimastigales.